AGCUGCCUGGCUAGGGACCGUCCUUCCCAGCACUCUCUGCACCUGGGUGUCGCCGUGUAUUUGGUUCUUACCCACGGAAUGCCAGCAGAAGUCCUGGAUAACUCUGAGUCCAGAAUUUUAAGAAAUGCGUCCUCCUCCUGUGGGCCCUCAAGAGUGAAGAUUCCUAAUCCUGUGGUUGCUGGGCCAUCAGCCUUGUUGUGCUCCGUCUCUAUCCCAUGCAGUGGUAAAGCAGGACAGCCACACAUCAUCUGGUUUGAGAAACGUGGUGAGGUUGCGGGGUUCUCUUUUUAAUAGUUUUUUUUUUUAAAUAUAUGAAUUCAAAGAAGCUUUUAGAUUUAUACAAAUUGGCUUGGUUUACCAUUAAGUAAAAUUAAUAUUGGGUUCAAUUAAUGAAUGCAGAUUUGUCUGUCCUUCAUUUUCAUCCCUUGGUUCCUCUGAUUUUUUUUUUCGGGUGUUUUUCAUAAACAAAAGUUAAGGCAGUUCUCA
This 486-nucleotide long non-coding RNA is filed under the name Mustela putorius furo (domestic ferret). Its description in RNAcentral is "lncRNA (ENSMPUG00000028916.1)". The record is from RNAcentral. Lineage: Eukaryota; Metazoa; Chordata; Mammalia; Carnivora; Mustelidae.